UACAGAGGGUGCGAGCGUUAAUCGGAAUUACUGGGCGUAAAGGGUGCGUAGGUGGGUAUUUAAGUGAGAGGUGAAAUCCCCAGGCUUAACCUGGGAACUGCCUCUUAUACUGGGUAUCUGGAGUGUGGUAGAGGGUAGUGGAAUUUCCGGUGUAGCGGUGAAAUGCGUAGAUAUCGGAAGGAACACCAGUGGCGAAGGCGGCUACCUGGACUAACACUGACACUGAGGCACGAGAGCGUGGGGAGCAAACAGG
This 253-nucleotide ribosomal RNA is filed under the name uncultured bacterium. RNAcentral describes it as "partial 16S ribosomal RNA". It matches the Rfam family "Bacterial small subunit ribosomal RNA", at positions 524 to 776 of the family's 1533-position model. The record is from RNAcentral.